GAAACAUUAACUAGGUAACUAUGUUAACUAGGUAACUAUGUUAACUAGGUAACUAUGGAACAUAAGCAAAUACUUUUACACAAGGCAGCUUUAGCCUCACUUCUAACUAUCCAAGUACAACUUCCCACUGGGCUUUCUCAUUGCUCCUGCUGUAUACUUCAAAGGUGCUGUGACUCCAGAAUACCCUGCAUCCAGUUUGCGAGAAACACACCCAGAGCUCCUGCUGCGCACAGCCCUAGCUCUGCCACUUAUGCUGCAGUGGGAAAUUCUGUGAGCAGAGUUUUACUGGACUCCUCAGAAGCUACACCCAUGUUAGUAAUCUUCACAGGUCCAGGACAUGAUUCAAUUUUUGUUAAGCUCUUGUCCAUGAUGAGUGAACAAAGUGCUUUGUGGAUACAAUAAAAGCUGUGGUGGAAAAAAGCAUUUACAGAUAUUCCAUAAACUCUCCUGACCAUGCAAGGCCUAUUUUACUUACUGUUUCAGGCUCAUGUUAUUUACAAAUAGAGCACAGCAAUGUUUGUGGUGUAGGCUCAUUACCUGGUCCAACUCUGCUGAUGCUCUCUUUGCCCUGGCAUUGCAGGGGCAGAUUGGGAAACAGUACUGCUCAAGAGCUGUACUGUUUGUGCCCCCAGUCGCACUGUCAAACCUCUCCCAGAGCCAUAAAUCCUGAGGUGCCAUCAAUACAUGUACUUCCAGUGCAAGACCAAGGUGGGUUUUAGGGUGUUUUGUCUUCAUACACUCAAACCUGG
This 749-nucleotide long non-coding RNA is filed under the name Anas platyrhynchos platyrhynchos (common mallard). RNAcentral describes it as "lncRNA (ENSAPLG00000018476.1)". The record is from RNAcentral. Lineage: Eukaryota; Metazoa; Chordata; Aves; Anseriformes; Anatidae.